This 381-nucleotide ribosomal RNA is filed under the name Triticum aestivum (bread wheat). Its description in RNAcentral is "partial small subunit ribosomal RNA". The record is from RNAcentral. Lineage: Eukaryota; Viridiplantae; Streptophyta; Magnoliopsida; Poales; Poaceae.
AUGUGCCAUUUGGAGUGCUCUAUCAAAGAGUUGUGGGUUAACUCGUCUGACAAGAGAAUUCCAAAUAUGAAAGCCAUGGCUUUACCAACUGCGCUCAUUAGUUGGAUUAUUUUGAAUGAGAGGAACGUGCGUGUUUUCCACCACAGGUCCAGACCACCGCCAAUCCUGUUGGUUUUUGAUCUUGGUAGAUCAAAUUCCCCGGAGAGGUGCAGCAACACACGUACGUGUAAGCUAGCUCAAAGAAGCAACCAAGCUAGUAGCUUAAUUGAUCUACAGGGAACUAGUUGUAGCCUCUCGUUGCGUGGAGCAGCUCUAGCUGGAUCGGAUCGAUCUACUCUCUUCGGAACACUUGCGGCGACUUCCGUAACUUGCGAACGAUAA